GAUGAACGCUGGCGGCGUGCUUAACACAUGCAGGUCGAGCGAGUGAGUUCUUCGGAACGAUCUAGCGGCGGACGGGUGAGUAACACGUGGGCAACCUGCCUCAUAGAGGGGGAUAGCCUCCUGAAAGGGAGAUUAAUACCGCAUAAAAUUAUCGAGUGGCAUCACAUGAUAAUCAAAGGAGUAAUCCGCUAUGAGAUGGGCCCGCGGCGCAUUAGCUAGUUGGUGAGGUAACGGCUCACCAAGGCGACGAUGCGUAGCCGACCUGAGAGGGUGAUCGGCCACAUUGGGACUGGGACACGGCCCAGACUCCUACGGGAGGCAGCAGUGGGGAAUAUUGCACAAUGGGGGAAACCCUGAUGCAGCAACGCCGCGUGAGUGAUGAAGGUCUUCGGAUUGUAAAGCUCUGUCUUUGGGGACGAUGAUGACGGUACCCAAGGAGGAAGCCACGGCUAACUACGUGCCAGCCGCCGCAGUAA
RNAcentral lists this ribosomal RNA (476 nucleotides) under uncultured bacterium. RNAcentral describes it as "partial 16S ribosomal RNA". It matches the Rfam family "Bacterial small subunit ribosomal RNA", at positions 28 to 523 of the family's 1533-position model. The record is from RNAcentral.